GAUAAGCACAUUUCAUAUAUACAAUUUUGGCAUAGAAAUUUAUUAUUUAUUGAGAUAUGACCAUCAAUUCUUGCUGUGAAAUAUUGAAUAUUUGCAUGAAAAUCAUAUAAAGUAUCAUUUACUAGUCUUUGGUCUAUUUUGCAGAAAUGUGCGCAAAGGCACUAUAAAUCUUCAAGAUCCGGACUAAGUGGCUAAGAGAACGAUGAAGAGGAGCAAGAAUGGACUUGUGCGAGAAGAAACGAAGUAGCCAGGGGGGCAACUAUAGGAGAGAGGAUCUACUUGGGAAGAAAGAAGAAAGGAGGAGGGCCAAAGUAAAAAAAGACAGAUCAGAUCAUGGGGGAUCAAAAUCCCUAGCACGCCUCCAUUCCCCAUCGAGCCUGACAUCUCCAUCUCUCUCCCCCUGACCACUUCUUCUCCCACCUUUGGCCGCUGUCGCGGCCAGGCCAUCGUGGCGGCGCGCCUCCGGACAUCGCUGCUCCACCAGCACCUUCACCCACCAGCACCACAUAAUCCAGACACCACUCCGUCUUCGCCGCCAUCGCCUUGGGCGCUCCACUUUGUUGCCGCGCCUGGCGUGCCCGACCAGACGGGUGUUUGGUUCCCCGCGCCACCUGCUGCUUCUUCCCUCUCCUCAAAUCCUAUUUCUGCUAGACUUCCUCUUCCCUGAACCUCAACUGCUGCCGCUCCUAGUCCUCUCUGAACCACAAACCUGCGGCUGCUCCUAGUCCAUUCUGAAUAACAAAACUGCUGCUGCUUCUCUUCUUCUACUGCGCCCCCUUGCUGAUAUCUCACGCUGCUGCUCCUCUCCUCAUCACGCUGCUGUUUCCUUCUUCUCCUGUCGCUGCUCUCUUCUUCCCUUGCCUCUAGUUGCUGCUCCUAAUCUUCUCUGAACCCCAGCCUGCUGCUCUUUCUUCUCCCUACCUUGCUGCUGCUCUGCCCUCUGCUGCUGUACCUCUCCUUCUCCAACUCGCCCCCUCUGAUCCUCUCCAUCACCUACACCAUCUACAGCUGCAAGCCUGAAGAUUGACUGGGAAUUAAUCUUUGAAUCUCUCCCUUUUCUUGCUACUGUACUCUGAAUUUUCUGUAAUAGGAGUUGUGUAGGACUUGUAAGUUUCAGAUUUUGAUAAGUGUUUGCAACCAACUAGUUUGAUCAGUUCGUACUUGUUAAAUAUCAUGUCAUGAAUUCUAUGUUCUGAAUAGUGGAUUUCUUUUCUUACGAAACUAAGUGAUGUCUAACAUUUUGGCUUUGGUAAUAUGUGUUCUCGGCAUAUAUAUGUGUUCACCCUGUGUAUUUCUUCUCGCUGUACUAGUUAAUUUCUACUAGUAAUUUUUACUUGUUAAAUACUGUUGUGUUGAUCUGUGGGUACUAAUCUUGUGGCUUGUUAGAUUUCGUUUCUGUUGUCUCUUGUGUAACCUUAACCGUGGUGUAGUAUCCUGUUCGCAUAUGUGUGGUUAUGUGUGUUCUGUAGUCCCUGCAUUAGCUAUGUACCUGUGAUAUAUAAAUGUGUGUGUGUGUGUGUUUGAUUUGAAACAAUUAUGUUUUGUCAUAUAUUCUCGCUUCUUCCCUCUGUUUAUGUUUGAUAGUAAUGUGUCCUUGUCUUGUAGCUUUAAUUGAUAUUGACUCCUGUUUGUGUUAGUAUUGUAGAUCCACAAGUAAUACAAAAAUACUAAAAAGACAGAGUAAAGAUAACCUUCAUCUCCCUUUGGUUAUUUGUCAUUUUCUUUGUUGAUGAUCCUUGUUAGUGUUAGGUUUAUUUUCUAUUCUCAUCAUUCAAUUGGGUCACCUAGCUUUAGUCGAACGUAAUUGUCGUCGCCUAGUCCCUGUGGAGAACACGACACUCGUAGUUUGGGCGUAAAAAUCCCGCUACAUUUACAAUUGAUCAUUUUUGGCGCCGUUGCCAGGGACUAGCGUCGAGCGAUUGUGCGAAGCUAUAGACUAGGUUUAGUAUAGUUUUUGUUUAAAUUUCCAGUCAAAUUUAUUUCUGUGUUUCUUUUACCUUUUUACUUUUUGUUGCUUCGGUUUAUUAGGAUACUAACCCUCUCACCAAUGUUUGAUGUUUGUGAGCGUGUGUAGGAUAUCUUAAUAUUUGUAGGCUGAUUGACAGUUGCACUUGAACAUAUGGCUUUAGUACGUGAUCUUUGGUUGCCAAGUAGUUUGGACACGAUGACAGGGCCAAUUUGGCCAUCUAUUGAGGCCGAAAAUUUUGAGUUGAGGCCUGGACUUACUGCUCUCGUCUUGCAGAAUCAGUUUAGAGGAUUACCCAAUGAAGACCCUCAUGAGCACAUUAGUAAUGUUCUGGAGUAUGCCAAUACAGUCCAGUAUCAUGGCGUUUCCAAGAUGCUAUCAAGUGUAUGCUGUUCACAUUCUCUCUCAGAGAUGCUGCUAAGGACUGGUACUAUUCUUUGCCAUCAAGAUCUUACACUUGGGGUGAUAUUUCACAAGCUUUCCUGCACAGAUAUUUUCCACUUUACAAGCAAGCUGCAAUUCGUGACCAGAUCCUCAGUUUUGUGCAAGAUGGAAGUGAGAGCUUGUAUGCAGCUUGGGAGAGAUAUAAGUAUUUGCUUAGAAAAUGUCCUAAUCAUGGGCAAAAGGAUUGGUUAGUGCUCCAGAUAUUCUAUAGAGGGCUGACACAUGCUUCGAGAGAUCUUAUUGAUAUGUCCGCUGGUGGAACAAUCAUGAACAAGAUCGUUGAGGGUGCAAUUAUUCUCAUUGAGUGCAUUGCCUUCCACCAAAUGCAAUGGGGUUAUGAAAGGCCUAGUUCAAAUCCGAAGGUUGCAAGCCAUCUGCAAUCAGAAGUUGUGUGUUCCAUAAGUGAACAGAAAUCAUCCAUGGUGCCUAAUAUUCAAAACCAGCAUGUUCCAUUCCGGGGACAACAACAUUUCAGAGCUGAAUUAGAUCCUCCAUGUAGAAAGAUUGAUCUUACUUCAAGUAUCCUUGAUGAUGAUUAUGAUAUUUUUCAAGAUGAUGCAACCAUUGUAGAUCAGAUGGAAACCACAGUAGUAGAUCCAAUACCUCAUGGCAAUGAAGCUGUCCAGACCGAGUCAAAGUUGCAAGAAGAUGUUUAUGAGGAACCUACUCUGAUUGGUGCUAAGUUGAGACAACAAGAUAUGGAGAAAUUCACUAGUGUUAGUCAACUAUGUGACUGGUGGAAUUUAGUCGUGGCACCAAUUGCCCACACUUGUGUUACAACUGUAUCUGGGAUAUUUGUCAAGAAGAAAUCAUUAGCUCCGCCGGUGGCUGCCUCUAUCUCAGUUAAAGAGAGUAUCUCAGAGAAGAAUAGUGAAGAUGAGAUUCCAACUCCUGCACAUACAAUUAAGCAAGUCGGAGACAUUCCAAGGAGAGAGAUACAAGAGGUUGAGUCAAAUUUAGAAGAGCUGAUACUUCAAUAUCCUGAGAAGAUCCCAUGUGUUGCUGAGCUGCAUGACUGGUGGAAGUCAUCGGUGUCACUGUUGAAACUUAGCAAUGAUGGUGAUGAAGAGAACAUUGCUCAGAAAGACAGCGAGGUAGUGAUCUCAGCACCCCUACCAGAUCAUGUUAGUGAAUAUCCACAGAUGGGGACACUUCAGACUCAAUUAAGUGUUGCUGGUAGUAGCACCAUAGAAGAUCCAGAGGAAGAGAGACCUCAGAUUGAAGAUGUACUCGAAGCCAAGGCACAAGAUGAUCCAGAGUUCGAACAACCUAGUAAUCAAGUUGAAGACUCAUCAUCUACUACUCUUAAAGAAGCAAAAGAAGCUGCUGUAGAUGAACUUGAAGAACCAGAAAUUCAUUUGCCUAUUGUCACACAAGAGCGUGAUGUAGCAGGUUUAUCUAAUCCUCUUAAUGACAUGUCUUCAUAUGAUUUGUUUGCUACUACCUUGCAUUGCAUGAUGCCAUCACUUAAGGUAGAUUUGAAAAACUAUUUGCUUGGACAUGAUCAUACACACCCUGUUAGUGGCAUUGCUCAUAUCUCUAUUCAUGAUACUUAUGUUCCUAAUGCUAUACCCAUGCUUAAUGAAACGUGUGAUUCUAAUACUAGCAUUGAGCUUACUGAUUUGUACCAUCCUAAACAUGUGCUUUAUAGAUAUGCUUAUGUAAUUGGGUGUUCGAUUGAUGACUUGGAGGGUAUUAUCCCUACCACUUGCAUUGUCUCUUUUGUUGAGAGUGCUUUCAGGUUUUUGCUUAUGCACGAUCCAUUACAUGCUGACCAGGUUCGAGGUGACAUUCCUUUGGACCCUGGUGGACUCAGAGCAUGGGGAUGAGGAGAAGCAAGGGGGCACACACGAGGAAGGGAGAAGCUGAAGCAGGCAUGAGGAUAGAGAAGCAAAAGGAGAGGAGCUGCAGUUGGUGUGGUGACCGAGCGAGUGCUACAUCAUCAAAGCCCGGUGAGCUGUUUCAUGACCCAUUCCGAGUAUAUUAUCCAUUGAUACAUGCUGAAAUCAAAUGUUAUUUGGGUUGCUUAAGCCAAGUCUUAAAUGUUGCCCCAUUGAAUUUUAUUUGACAUAUGGUGCUUGAUGAGAAUAUGCGAACUGUUUAUUGAAUGCCAUGUAAACUAGUGAUCUACAUAUUGCUUGCUUUGCUGAAAUUAGUGAAAGUUAUUAGUUUUGAGUGCUCAAAUCCCUAGUACACUAGAAAACUUAAUCAUUUUCUGCUUUUACCUUGAUACACCUAGAUCACCACGUUUAGAUGCUGAAUUUGUGCCAAGUGUCUUCCCAUUGAGAGCAAUCACCUAACCACUAUGGAUUAGCAUGCUAUGUUCCCUGGAUCGGUAGCAUGUGAACCAGACAUGGAGAAGUGAUGAUUCCUGUUUUUGUUCUUAUGCGUUAUUCAUUUAAGAUAAGUAAUAAUGAAUAAAUAAGUCUGGCUACCUACAGUAGCAUGUCAUGUUCCCGGGAUCGGUGGCAUGUGAAAUCAGGUUAGCUUGGGCAGUAAUUAAUUACAAUAAAAAUGUAAUUGUCGAACCAGGUGUAUACCAUGUUCUCGGGAUCGGUGGUAUGUUCCUUUGGGGAGACAAACAAAAAAAGUUAAUAAAAAUUGGUUGAGCCAGGUGUAUACCAUGUUCUCGGGAUCGGUGGUAUGUUCCUUCGGUGAGACUAAUGAAAUAAUAUGUGUGUUUCUUUCAAAUUCAAUAAGUGGUUCACCCACAAAGUCAUAUUUCUGCAAAUAAGAGAUUUAAUUCCAGUUCUUUUUGUUCUCGGGAUCAUGCUCUCUUUAGGAACCAUUUGGCGCAGUCAUCAUUUAAACUUGUUGAUCCUCUUUUAUCAUUGUAAAAGUUUAAAAUGGUCAUGCUUACUAGUAUCUUACCGCUUUGAAGCACUCCUAACCAUUAAUUUGUACUAGCUAAGUCCAAAGCAUGCACUGUUUAGGCAUCUACUUCACUUGGUAUUCUCUAAUCAGCUCACUGUUCACAUUCUUGCUCUUGUCAUAUGCCUUUGCUUGAGGACAAGCAAAAGUUUAAGUGUGGGGGAACUUGAUAAGCACAUUUCAUAUAUACAAUUUUGGCAUAGAAAUUUAUUAUUUAUUGAGAUAUGACCAUCAAUUCUUGCUAUGAAAUAUUGAAUAUUUGCAUGAAAAUCAUAUAAAGUAUCAUUUACUAGUCUUUGGUCUAUUUUGCAGAAAUGUGCGCAAAGGCACUAUAAAUCUUCAAGAUCCGGACUACGUGGCUAAGAGAACGAUGAAGAGGAGGAAGAAUGGACUUGUGCGAGAAGAAACGAAGUAGCCAGGGGGCCAACUAUAGAAGAGAGGAUCUACUUGGGAAGAAAGAAGAAAGGAGGAGGGCCAAAGUAAAAAAAAGACAGAUCGGAUCAUGGGGGAUCAAAAUCCCUAGCACGCCUCCAUUCCCCAUCGAGCCUAACAUCUCCAUCUCUCUCCCCCUGACCACUUCUUCUCCCACCUUCGGCCGCCGUCGCGACCAGGCCAUCAUGGCGGCGUGCCUCCGGACAUCACUGCUCCACCAGCACCUUCACCCACCAGCACCACAUCAUCCAUCCAGCACUCCGUCUUCACCGCCAUCGCCUUGGGCGCUCCACUUCGUCGCCGCGCCUGGCGCGCCCGACCAGACGGGUGUUUGGUUCCCCGCGCCACCUGCUGCUUCUUCCCUCUCCUCAAAUCCUGUUGCUGCUAGACUUCUUCUUCCCUGAACCUCAACUGCUGCCGCUCCUAGUCCUCUCUGAACCACAAACCUGUGGCUGCUCCUAGUCCAUUCUGAAUAACAAAACUGUUGCUGCUUCUCUUCUUCUACUGCGCCCCCUUGCUGAUAUCUCACGCUGCUGCUCCUCUCCUCAUCACGCUGCUGUUUCCUUCUUCUCCUGUCGCUGCUCUCUUCUUCCCUUGCCUCUAGUUGCUGCUCCUAAUCUUCUCUGAACCCCAGCCUGCUGCUCUUUCUUCUCCCUACCUUGCUGCUGCUCUGCCCUCUGCUGCUGUACCUCUCCUUCUCCAACUCGCCCCCUGCUGAUCCUCUCCAUCACCUACACCAUCUACAGCUGCAAGCCUGAAGAUUGACUAGGAAUUAAUCUUUGAAUCUCUCCCUUUUCUUGCUACUGUACUCUGAAUUUUCUGUAAUAGGAGUUGUGUAGGACUUGUAAGUUUCAGAUUUUGAUAAGUGUUUGCAACCAACUAGUUUGAUCAGUUCGUACUUGUUAAAUAUCAUGUCAUGAAUUCUAUGUUCUGAAUAGUGGAUUUCUUUUCUUACGAAACUAAGUGAUGUCUAACAUUUUGGCUUUGGUAAUAUGUGUUCUGUCUUGUGGCUUGUUAGAUUUCGUUUCUGUUAUCUCUUGUGUAACCUGAACCGUGGUGUAGUAUCCUGUUCACAUAUGUGUGGUUUUGUGUGUUCUGUAGUCCCUGUAUUAGCUAUGUACAUGUGAUAUAUAAAUAUGUGUGUGUGUGUGUUUGAUUUGAAACAAUUAUGUUUUGUCAUAUAUUCUCGCUUUCUUCCCUCUGUUUAUGUUUGAUAGUAAUGUGUCCUUGUCUUGUAGCUUUAAUUGAUAUUGACUCCUGUUUGUGUUAGUAUUGUAG
Molecule: long non-coding RNA, 6991 nt
Filed under: Triticum aestivum (bread wheat)
Lineage: Eukaryota; Viridiplantae; Streptophyta; Magnoliopsida; Poales; Poaceae
Description: long non-coding RNA (TAES_LNC011916)
Source: RNAcentral